AAGUCGUAACAAGGUUUCCGUAGGUGAACCUGCGGAAGGAUCAUUAACACGUAUCCAACGUUAAACAACCCUGUGAACUUUCAGCCUGGUAAAUCAUUGCAAACAGUUUUGAUUCGGGACCUCUGUCCAAAAGGUGUUACAAUUGAGCGGUAGAGGCAGUGGCAUGGCUUCCCCAAGCAGUUAGUGAAUGACAGUGUCACUGAUUGUGUAAGGAUAACGCCUCACGGUUGCCAGAGGUCGAUCACCGACCGGCAGACAUGUCACAGGGUCACCACGCCCCUUAAUCACCCCAAUUUGAAAUUGCUCCUACCUGGUGGUAACGCACUGGGUCAAAAAAACCGAACAACUGUUAACAAUGGAUAUCUUGGUUCUC
RNAcentral lists this unclassified non-coding RNA (373 nucleotides) under fungal sp. Its description in RNAcentral is "partial internal transcribed spacer region". The stretch from base 1 to 46 matches the Rfam family "Eukaryotic small subunit ribosomal RNA", at positions 1786 to 1831 of the family's 1831-position model. The record is from RNAcentral. Lineage: Eukaryota; Fungi.